AUUAAUUUGGCAGAAUAGUGCAUUAGAUUUAGAAUCUUAGUAUGUUUAAUUAAACAGUUAAUA
Molecule: transfer RNA, 63 nt
Filed under: Coleoptera sp. 11 KM-2017
Lineage: Eukaryota; Metazoa; Arthropoda; Insecta; Coleoptera
Description: tRNA-Leu
Source: RNAcentral